GUGCUCACUUGGGCAGCACAAAUACCAAAAUUGGAAUGAUGCAGAGAUUAGCAUGGCCCCUGCUCAAGGAUGACACUCAGAUUCAUGCAGCAUUCUAUAUUUUU
This is a small nuclear RNA of Arvicanthis niloticus (Nile rat), 104 nucleotides long. The record is from RefSeq and is a predicted model, not a curated record. Lineage: Eukaryota; Metazoa; Chordata; Mammalia; Rodentia; Muridae.